GCGGGAGUAGCUCAGUUGGUAGAGCGCAACCUUGCCAAGGUUGAGGUCGACGGUUCGAGACCGUUCUCCCGCUCCA
Molecule: transfer RNA, 76 nt
Filed under: Massilia solisilvae
Lineage: Bacteria; Pseudomonadati; Pseudomonadota; Betaproteobacteria; Burkholderiales; Oxalobacteraceae
Also listed under: 1 other name
Description: tRNA-Gly
Rfam family: tRNA
About the family: Transfer RNA (tRNA) molecules are approximately 80 nucleotides in length.
Source: RNAcentral